Molecule: long non-coding RNA, 1973 nt
Organism: Mandrillus leucophaeus (drill)
Lineage: Eukaryota; Metazoa; Chordata; Mammalia; Primates; Cercopithecidae
Exons: 2
Source: RefSeq, a predicted model, not a curated record
UUGUUUUGUUUUGUACCCAUGCUGUUGAUUGCUAAAUGUUUUAAUAGUCUAGUCAUGAUACUGAAUAAAUGUCUUUUUUUUUUAAUUUAACAAAGCAUGAAAGAUUGCUUAAUUGUACAUCUGACAAAGUGCUGGCGGCUCUUAUAAAGUAUAAUUACUAUUACUACCUUUUAAGAGACAGGGUCUUGCUCUGUCACCCAGGCUGGAGUGCAGUGGUGCGAUCACAGCUCACUGCAACCUCAAACUUCAGGGCCCAAGUGAUCCUCCCACCUCAGCUUCCCAAGUAGCUAGGACUACAGAUGUGCACCACCAUGCCCAGCUAAGUUUUUUUAGUUUUUGUAGAGAUGGGGCCUUGCUAUGUUGCCCGGUCAUGUCUCAAAUGCCGACCUCAGGCACUCCUCCCUCUUGCCUCUCCCUCCCAAAGUGCUGGGAUUACAGGUGUGAGCCUACAUUCCAAAAUGCUGGGAUCACAGGUGUGAGCCUACACCACACCUGGCCUACGUUUUAAUUUUUUCAUAAAGUUGAGAGAAGCAAAUCCUAAGCAUAGAGUACAGGUUGAGCAUCCCUAAUCAAAAAAUCGAAAAUCGGAAAUGCUCCAAAAUUGGAAUGCUCAAAGGAAAUCCUUAUUAGGGCAUUUCUGAUUUUUGGAUUAGGGAUGCUGAACUGAUAAGUAUAAUGCAAGUAUUCUAAAGUCUGGACAAUGCUAAAAACACUGCUGGUUCCAAGCAUUUCAGAUAAGGAUUGCUCAAUUUGCCCUUUGAGUAUUUAAUAUAUGCUGAUUGUUUAAACUGAUCAGGAUUUAAUUACAUAAAUGAUCUUUGGCUUAGUGCCUUUCUUAAAAAUUUCAAUUUUAAAAAGCAUUAUGAAACACCCCUGUGGUUUUUCAGAAAAAAUUUGAAAAAGAAAUUUCAUCUUGUUCUAUCCCUUUUAAUAGAAAAACAAAUCUUUUUGAAAGAAUGUGCUACUAUAUUUCAAGCCAGUUGUUUUGGAGUAGAACAUUGCUAAAAAAAACAGGUACUAAGGAGGGUAAUUUAAACAAAGUAGAUUAAUGACACAAGGAUUGAUGAACUCAUAAAUCCUAAUGAAUGGAAUGCUAGAAGACAUGUAUUAACAGUAGAAACUCUGAGGUACAUAGCUCUUACCAAAAUAUAUCCUUGCUUGUUGGACUCUGACGUGAAGAUCAAAGGUGAUGGCAUCCCACAGAUGACAGAUAAUGGGCAAAAUAUAUUCUUGGUGUGGAGCAGUGCUGCCGAAUUAACUUCCCUGUGUACAUCCCAGAAUCAUGUUGGAUCUGCUAAGGUUUUUAUUAGAAUGAUUUAAUAGGCUUUUGCAGGAUUAACUUCACAGUAGUUACCAGAAAAGGCUAUGCUACAAGAAUGAAAAUUGAAGAACAAAGACCGAAAUGAUACGAUUCUAAAUGAAAAAAAUAAAGAAGUGGAAUAGUUUCUCCAAAGGCAUAGGAGGCAAAGCAUUGUUUCAGAAGUGGACUGGCACCUCACCUGAGAUACUCAAGACUGGCAACAUGGGUCUUCAUUCUUUGUUAUCACUGAGGUUGUGUCCUAAAGGAUUCCCUAGCUCUAAUGACAGAUUUUUUUGGGGGGUGGGGAGGUAAUGAGGCUAUGAGAAGAUUGAGGAUCUAGGUGCUUGCCUCUAAUUCUACAGCAUAAAGGUGUGUCGCUUUUAUCUCUAGGACACCAAUAUUUUUAAUGUUGCAUAUCAUGUAUCUCCAGUACGAGAAGAAAGUUUAUCGGAAUUUAGUUAAUGUUGGAAACUUUGUAAUACAAACAAUGUAAACACUACAUUGACAAAAAUAUUAAUAAUUAUGCAUAUAGUUUGCUUACUAUAGAAAUUCUUGUUUUUGAUGUUGGAUACAACCCAAAGGAGUUUUUAUGUAUAGAGAUGGUGAAUAAAUUGGGAAAAGAAAUAGAGAUAAGCAGAGAUUAUUUCGUUUCAUUAAACUUUUGAAGUCCUAA